CUAAAAGAAAAGAAGAAGGAAACGAAAUGAAAGGAAAGGAAGGGCCAAGUGGCCCUUCAUUAAAAACAAGGCGCGGCCCUUCAAUAAAACGAGACGCACUGCGUCUUGUUGAGGUAUUCAGCCUUUUCUGUUCUUCUUCCUAUGGAGGCAGAGCUUGUCCUUCUCAGUUUUUCCUCUUUUGAUUUUUCGUACAAAAAUCAUGAUCUAUGAAGAUCUAGCCGUUCAAUUUCAAAUCCGACUUCGGUAACGUGAUCUACGAAACCCGAUCUACAUUUCUACCGAUCGGUUUGAGAAAAAGGAGCUAAGAAACUAUACAAGGAGUUUGCUGAUGCAGAUCUGGAGAACGAAGGCAUGGACUCAUAUGCCAGUUUUAAUGAUUUUUGAAACCAUUGCUGUAGCAAUAUGUGCUAGCUUAGAAAUUGCUAGGCAUAUUUAUGUGUGUUUUAUUUCAAGGCUUGUAAUAAUUAUGUUUUGUUUGGUGUAUUUUUAUGUUGUAUGUUUAUGUGCCGUUUGUGGCACUUAUUUUUAAUGCACCUAGUGUGCAAAUGGCGUGUAAAGAUAAACCUAAGUAACUUUUUAUAAACGUAUCGAGGUAUUUCAGUCA
Long non-coding RNA from Alnus glutinosa, 604 nucleotides. RefSeq lists it as uncharacterized. NCBI's taxonomy places the organism in Eukaryota, Viridiplantae, Streptophyta, Magnoliopsida, Fagales, Betulaceae. The transcript has 3 exons. The record is from RefSeq and is a predicted model, not a curated record.